This 215-nucleotide ribosomal RNA is filed under the name uncultured bacterium. RNAcentral's name for it is "partial 16S ribosomal RNA". It matches the Rfam family "Bacterial small subunit ribosomal RNA", at positions 28 to 242 of the family's 1533-position model. The record is from RNAcentral.
GACGAACGCUGGCGGUGUGCCUAAAACAUGCAAGUCGAACGGUGAUCCGGACUUCGGUCCGGGGAUCAGUGGCGAACGGGUGAGUACCACGUGGGCAACCUGCCCCAGACUCUGGGAUAACUCCGGGAAACCGGGGCUAAUACCGGAUACUCCGGCCGAACCGCAUGACGCGGCCGGGAAAGCUCCGACGGUCUGGGAUGGGCCCGCGGCCUAUC